This 1213-nucleotide long non-coding RNA is filed under the name Lactuca sativa (garden lettuce). RNAcentral describes it as "long non-coding RNA (LSAT_LNC002306)". The record is from RNAcentral. Lineage: Eukaryota; Viridiplantae; Streptophyta; Magnoliopsida; Asterales; Asteraceae.
UUCCCAUUUCCACCAAACACACCAUCACCUACUCCUGUUUAUGACCCACCAGUUGUUGAGACUCCCCCUGUUCCAGUAUACAAUCCUCCUCCGGUUGUUGAGACUCCCCCUGUUCCAGUAUACAAUCCUCCUCCGGUUGUUGAGACUCCCCCUGUUCCAGUAUACAAUCCUCCUCCGGUUGUUGAGACUCCCCCUGUUCCAGUAUACAAUCCUCCUCCGGUUGUUGAACCACCACCAGUUUACAAUCCUCCUCCGGUUUACAAUCCUCCUCCUGUUUACACACCAACACCAAAGCCAGAACCACCAGUAGUCAAGCCUCCUUGUGACCCAAAACCAAAGCCACAGCCACCUGUCUACAAACCUGCUCCCAUUCCGGUUUAUAAGCCAAAGCCAAAGCCGCCAGUCUACAAGCCUGCUCCCGUCCCAGUUUACAAGCCAAAGCCAAAUCCAGAGCCUCCAGUCUACAAGCCUGCUCCCAUUCCGGUUUAUAAGCCAAAGCCAAAGCCACCAGUCUACAAGCCUUCUCCCAUCCCAGUUUACAAACCAAAGCCAAAUCCAGAGCCUCCGGUUUACAAGCCUGCUCCCAUUCCAGUUUAUAAGCCAAAACCAAAACCGCCUGUUUAUAAGCCUGCUCCCGUUCCAGUUUACAAACCAAAGCCAAAGCCACCCGUUUACAAGCCUGCUCCAGUUCCGGUUUACAAGCCAAAGCCAAAGCCGCCAGUCUACAAACCGGCUCCGGUUCCAGUUUACAAGCCAAAACCAGAGCCACCGGUUUACAAGCCAGCUCCGGUUCCGGUUCCAGUUUACAAACCAAAGCCAAAGCCGCCAGUCUACAAACCUUCCCCUGUUCCAGUUUAUAAGCCAAAGCCUGAGCCACCGGUCUACAAACCUGCCCCUGUUCCAGUUUACAAGCCAAAGCCAGAGCCACCGGUUGUCAAGCCUCCUUGUGACCCAAAACCAAAACCAGAGCCACCUGUCUACAAGCCUGCUCCCGUUCCUAUUUACAAACCUAAGCCAGAGCCGCCAGUCUACAAGCCUUCUCCAGUUCCAGUUUACAAACCGGAGCCAAAACCGCCUGUUUAUAAUCCUUCUCCUGUUCCAGAUUACAAUCCAACACCAAAAUCACCAUUGCCUCCGGUAAUAGACCCACCUUCACCAAAGAAACCUUGCCCACCAUUUUCUCUCCCAAAGCUUCCUCCUUUGCCCACCAUUC